This 401-nucleotide unclassified non-coding RNA is filed under the name soil metagenome. Its description in RNAcentral is "partial contains 5.8S ribosomal RNA, internal transcribed spacer 2, and large subunit ribosomal RNA". The stretch from base 1 to 121 matches the Rfam family "5.8S ribosomal RNA", at positions 35 to 154 of the family's 154-position model. The record is from RNAcentral.
GAUGAAGAACGCAGCGAAAUGCGAUAAGUAAUGUGAAUUGCAGAAUUCAGUGAAUCAUCGAAUCUUUGAACGCACCUUGCGCCCCUUGGUUAUUCCAAAGGGCAUGCCUGUUUGAGUAUCAUGAACACCUCAACUCUUGUGGUUUCCCACAAUGAGCUUGGACUGUGGAGGUUUUGUUGGCCCUGUGGUCAGCUCCUCUCAAAUGGAUCAGCUUACCGGUGUUUGGUGGCAUUACGGGUGUGAUAACUAACUACGCUCGUGGUCGUCUCCAAAUAACCUCCAGUGAUGGAGGUUCGCUGGAGCUUAUAAAUGUCUCUCCCCAGUGAAGACAGCCUUUGAACGUUCGAUCUCAAAUCAGGUAGGACUACCCGCUGAACUUAAGCAUAUCAAUAAGCGGAGGA